Molecule: transfer RNA, 79 nt
Filed under: Scleropages formosus (Asian bonytongue)
Lineage: Eukaryota; Metazoa; Chordata; Actinopteri; Osteoglossiformes; Osteoglossidae
Description: tRNA-Gln
Source: RNAcentral
ACAGCUGUAGCUUAGUGAUUAGAGCUAUUGGCUUUGGAUCAAAAGGUUGCAGGUUYGAUUCUCACCUCUGCCUGUAGUA